This 253-nucleotide ribosomal RNA is filed under the name uncultured bacterium. Its description in RNAcentral is "partial 16S ribosomal RNA". It matches the Rfam family "Bacterial small subunit ribosomal RNA", at positions 524 to 776 of the family's 1533-position model. The record is from RNAcentral.
UACAGAGGGUGCAAGCGUUAAUCGGAGUUACUGGGCGUAAAGGGCGCGUAGGCGGUUAUUUAAGUGAGUUGUGAAAUCCCUGGGCUUAACCUAGGAAGUGCAACUUAUACUGGGUGACUAGAGUACUGUAGAGGGUAGUGGAAUUUCCGGUGUAGCGGUGAAAUGCGUAGAGAUCGGAAGGAACACCAGUGGCGAAGGCGGCUACCUGGACAGAUACUGACGCUGAGGCGCGAAAGCGUGGGGAGCAAACAGG